This 835-nucleotide ribosomal RNA is filed under the name uncultured archaeon. RNAcentral's name for it is "bacterial SSU rRNA". It matches the Rfam family "Archaeal small subunit ribosomal RNA", at positions 14 to 854 of the family's 1478-position model. The record is from RNAcentral.
CUGCCGGAGGCCACUGCUAUCGGGAUCCGACUAAGCCAUGCGAGUCGAGAGGGUUCGGCCCUCGGCGAACUGCUCAGUAACACGUGGAUAAUCUACCCUUAGGUGGAGGAUAACCUCGGGAAACUGAGGAUAAUACUCCAUAGAUCCAAGAUGCUGGAAUGCACUUGGAUUGAAAGCCCCGACGCCUAAGGAUGAGUCUGCGGACUAUCAGGUAGUAGUCAGGGUAACGACCUGACUAGCCUACGACGGAUACGGGUUGUGGGAGCAAUAACCCGGAGACGAUAUCUGAGACACGAUAUCGGGCCCUACGGGGCGCAGCAGGCGCGAAACCUUCACAAUGCGCGAAAGCGCGAUGAGGGGAUCCCGAGUGCUUGCUCGUAAGAGUAAGCUGUUUCUCUGUUUAAAAAGCAGAGAGAGGAAGGGCUGGGUAAGACGGGUGCCAGCCGCCGCGGUAAUACCUGCAGCUCAAGUGGUGGCCAUUAUUAUUGGGCCUAAAACGUCCGUAGCCGGCCUGAUAAAUGCCUGGGUAAAUUGUGUAGCUUAACUAUACAAAUUCCGGGUAGACUGUCAGGCUUGAGACCGGGAGAGGCUAGAGGUACUCCUGGGGUAGAGGUGAAAUUCUGUAAUCCUGGGGGGACCACCAGUGGCGAAAGCGUCUAGCCAGAACGGGUCUGACGGUGAGGGACGAAACCCUGGGGCGCAAACCGGAUUAGAUACCCGGGUAGUCCAGGGCGCAAACGCUGCUUGCUUGAUGCUAGCUAGGCUCCGGGCCUGGCUAGUGUCGGAGCGAAGGUGUUAAGCAAGCUGCCUGGGAAGUACGGUCGCAAGACUGAAA